AGUGAACGCUGGCGGCAGGCCUAACACAUGCAAGUCGAGCGGAGCGGCGGACGGGUGAGUAAUGCCUAGGAAUCUGCCUGGUAGUGGGGGAUAACGUCCGGAUACGGGCGCUAAUACAGCAUACUAUCAGAUGAGCCUAGGGCGGAUUGGCUAGUUGGUGGGGUAAAGGCCUACCAAGGCGACGAACCGUAACUGGGCUGAGAGGAUGAUCAGUAAAACUGGAACGGAGGCACGGUCCAGACUCCUACGGGAGGCAGCGGUGGGUAAUAUUGGACAAUUGGCGAAAGGCUGAUCCAGCCAUGCCGCGUGUGUGAAGGAGGUCUUCGGAUUGUAAAGCACUUUAAGUUGGGAGGCGUUACCAACAGAAUAAGCACCGGCUAACUUCGUGCCAGCAGCCGCGGUAAUAC
RNAcentral lists this ribosomal RNA (407 nucleotides) under uncultured bacterium. RNAcentral's name for it is "partial 16S ribosomal RNA". It matches the Rfam family "Bacterial small subunit ribosomal RNA", at positions 29 to 526 of the family's 1533-position model. The record is from RNAcentral.